UGUUAAAAAAUUCAUGCAUUUCUACUGUUAAAAACUGGCGUGGCAGACAGAAUAACUAGACACGCCGCAUGUACCUCAUGUUGACGUACAAGGAAUAGUUUUUAACAAUAGAAAUAGAUGAAAUUUUUAACA
Molecule: non-coding RNA, 132 nt
Organism: Gossypium hirsutum (cotton)
Lineage: Eukaryota; Viridiplantae; Streptophyta; Magnoliopsida; Malvales; Malvaceae
Source: Rfam